UUCCUGUGACUGAGCGGCGGACGGGUGAGUAACGCGUGGGUAACCUGCCUCAUACAGGGGGAUAACAGUUAGAAAUGACUGCUAAUACCGCAUAAGACCACGGUACCGCAUGGUACAGUGGUAAAAACUCCGGUGGUAUGAGAUGGACCCGCGUCUGAUUAGGUAGUUGGUGGGGUAACGGCCUACCAAGCCGACGAUCAGUAGCCGACCUGAGAGGGUGACCGGCCACAUUGGGACUGAGACACGGCCCAGACUCCUACGGGAGGCAGCAGUGGGGAAUAUUGCACAAUGGAGGAAACUCUGAUGCAGCGACGCCGCGUGAAGGAUGAAGUAUUUCGGUAUGUAAACUUCUAUCAGCAGGGAAGAAAAUGACGGUACCUGACUAAGAAGCACCGGCUAAAUACGUGCCAGCAGCCGCGGUAAUACGUAUGGUGCAAGCGUUAUCCGGAUUUACUGGGUGUAAAGGGAGCGUAGACGGAGUGGCAAGUCUGAUGUGAAAACCCGGGGCUCAACCUCGGGACUGCAUUGGAAACUGUCAAUCUAGAGUACCGGAGAGGUAAGCGGAAUUCCUAGUGUAGCGGUGAAAUGCGUAGAUAUUAGGAGGAACACCAGUGGCGAAGGCGGCUUACUGGACGGUAACU
Molecule: ribosomal RNA, 641 nt
Filed under: uncultured bacterium
Lineage: Bacteria
Description: bacterial SSU rRNA
Rfam family: Bacterial small subunit ribosomal RNA
Source: RNAcentral